GGUUCGAUUCUGGCUCAGAUUGAACGCUGGCGGGAUGCUUUAUGCAGUCAGACAGCACGGACUUCGGUCUGGUGGCCGAGUGGCGAACAGGUGAUAAUGUAUCGGAGACGUGCCUGAGUAGCGGGGGAUAACUACGCGAAAGCGCUAAUACCAUACGCCCUUCGGGGGAAAGCGGGGACCUUCGGGCCUCCUUAUUAGAGCGGCCGAUAUCGGAUUGGCUAGUUGGUGGGGUAACGGCUCGCAAGGCGACGAUCCGUAGCUGGUUUGAGAGGACGACCAGCCACACUGGGACUGAGACUACGCGCCCAGACUCCUACGGGAGGCAGCAGUGGGGGAAUUUUGGACAAUGGGGGAAACCCUGAUCCAGCCAUCCCGCGUGUGCGAUGAAGGCCUUCGGGUUGUAAAGCACUUUGGCAGGAAAGAAACGGCUGGGAUAAUACCCCGUGCAACUGACGUACCUGCGAAUAGCACCGGCUAACUACGUGCCAGCAGCCGCGGAAGUAUGCGUAGGGUGCAAGCGUUAAUCGGAAUUACUGAAUAAAGCGUGCGCAGGCGGUUCGGAAAGAAAAGAUGUAAAAUCCAGAGCUUAACUUUCGGAACUGCAUUUUUAACUACCGAGCUAGAGUGUGUCAGGGAGGAAUUCCGCGUGUAGCAGUGAAAUGCAUAGAUAUGCGGAGGAACACCGAUGGCGAGGCAGCCUCCUGGGGAUAACACUAGGCGCUCAUGCACGAAAGCGUGGGGAGCAAAACAGGAUUAGAUACCCUGGUCCACGCCUAAACGAUGUCAACUAGCUGUUGGGCCUUCGGAGCUGGUAGCAGCUAACGCGUGAAGUUGACCGCCUGGGGAGUACACGGUCGCAAGAUUAAAACUCAAAGGAAUUGACGAGGUUACUAAACGCAGAGGUGGAUGAUGUGGAUUAAUUCCGAUGCAACGAAAAACCACUACCCUUGACAUGUCUGGAAUCCCGAGAUUUGGGAGUGCUCGCAAGAGAACAGACACAGGUGCUGCAUGGCUGUCGUCAGCUCGUGUCGUAGAUGUUGGGUUGAAAGUCCUGGCGACUGUCGUGAAGAUUUGCUACGAAGGGCACUCUAAUGAGACUGCCGGUGACAAACCGGAGGAAGGUGGGGAUGACGUCAAGUCCUCAUGGCCCUUAUGGGUAAGGGCUUCACACGUCGCACAAUGAGUCGGGACAGAGGUCGCCAACCCGAGGGGAGCCAAUCAGAAACCCGAUCGUAGUCGGAUCAUGAUCUGCAACUCGACUGCGUGAAGUCGGAAUCGCUAGUAAUCGCGGAUCAGCAUGUCGCGGUGGUACGUUCCCGGGUCUUGUACACCGCCCGUCCACACCAUGGGAGUGGUUUUACCAGAAGUAGUUAGCCUAACCUGUGAGGGCGAUUACCACGGUAGGAUUCAUGACUGGGUGAAGUCGUAACAAGGUAA
RNAcentral lists this ribosomal RNA (1437 nucleotides) under uncultured Bordetella sp. RNAcentral describes it as "partial 16S-23S ribosomal RNA intergenic spacer". It matches the Rfam family "Bacterial small subunit ribosomal RNA". The record is from RNAcentral. Lineage: Bacteria; Pseudomonadati; Pseudomonadota; Betaproteobacteria; Burkholderiales; Alcaligenaceae.